Medicago truncatula (barrel medic) is the source of this 1025-nucleotide long non-coding RNA. RefSeq lists it as uncharacterized. The record is from RefSeq and is a predicted model, not a curated record. NCBI's taxonomy places the organism in Eukaryota, Viridiplantae, Streptophyta, Magnoliopsida, Fabales, Fabaceae. The transcript is spliced from 2 exons.
UAAAUUCUGAAACUUUGCGUCAAUGUAGCAAAUCAUAUGCCCCGUGCUUCCCGUUAAAAUGAAACUUUCAGAAUUAUUAAUGUAUUUAUCUAAACUAAUUUUAUGUUUGAAACUUUUGAGUCAUAUUGCUAUCUUUCUUUUUUUACAAAUAUUGCUAUUUUUACAAUUUUACAACUAGCUAAAUCUUAAUUAACUGAAAUAAAGUAUAACACAAAAGAUUAAAUAUUAUUCCCUCAAAAAAUUUAACUAAACUUUUUAUUAUAAAAUUUUACUCCGUAAAAAAAAUUAUAAAAUUUUAUUGAUGAACAUUUUAUUUUAUUUUGAAGGGUUUAUGUAAUAUAUUUAAUAUUAAAGUUUAUGCUUUGUAAUAUAUUUUAUAUUAUAUAUUUGCAAAUCAUAUGUCAUGUGCUCCCCGUGAGGUACACAGGUUAACACUCUUUAAUUAUGUUUAGUUUAGAAGUAGUGUUAGUUUUGCCAGUUAUUUGGGAAGUACUUUUUAUAUUGCUCAUUUAUGUUGAAGUCACGUGACAUUAGAAUAAGGACAAAAGCAAUAGAAUGGGAGAGGAUAAUAUCAAAAGCACGUGACGUGACAGAUAUUAUCCGUCACUAUUUGACUGGUUAGUUUGAUAAAAGCCGCCGUCAAACCCUAAGCAGCGGGGAGCCCCAGCCCCAGCCUCAAAUGGAAAACAAAGAAGCUAUUUCCAAAAAAAUCUUCAAGAGAGUUAAGAUAAUCCAUGACGCGCCGUUCAAAUGGGAAUCUGCUUAUUUAAGCGAUGCAAAAAUUAAAGAAAUCAAGCACCAAAAUAAAUUAAAUCGCAGAAUUCUGGAAAAUUUGAUGUGAAGAUUCAAAGAGCUACAGUAAAAGUCUUAAUUUUAACAAUAAUAUGAUUAUUUACAAGAGUUAGGAUCCGUUGACACGAAAUCUCAUCCCUCAAUCUAUUUAAUCCAAAGGCACAUAUUGUUGGUGUAGUGAACUCGUGUGAGCUUUUCUUUCAUUUAUUGAUUCUUUGUAUUUUUAACUGUUA